GCUCCUGUAGCUCAGACAGUCAGAGUGCUGCCCUGUCACGGCAGAGGUCGCGGGUGCGAGUCCCGUCAGGAGCG
This 74-nucleotide transfer RNA is filed under the name Planctomycetota bacterium. Its description in RNAcentral is "Planctomycetes bacterium (marine metagenome) tRNA-Asp". It matches the Rfam family "tRNA". From Rfam's summary of the family: Transfer RNA (tRNA) molecules are approximately 80 nucleotides in length. Lineage: Bacteria; Pseudomonadati; Planctomycetota. The record is from RNAcentral.